UACGUAGGGGGCUAGCGUUGUCCGGAAUCAUUGGGCGUAAAGCGCGUGUAGGCGGUUCGGUAAGUCCGCUGUGAAAGUCGGGGGCUCAACCCUCGGAUGCCGGUGGAUACUGUCGGGCUUGAGUACGGAAGAGGCGAGUGGAAUUCCUGGUGUAGCGGUGAAAUGCGCAGAUAUCAGGAGGAACACCAAUUGCGAAGGCAGCUCGCUGGGACGUUACUGACGCUGAGGAGCGAAAGCGUGGGGAGCAAACAGG
RNAcentral lists this ribosomal RNA (253 nucleotides) under uncultured bacterium. RNAcentral describes it as "partial 16S ribosomal RNA". It matches the Rfam family "Bacterial small subunit ribosomal RNA", at positions 524 to 776 of the family's 1533-position model. The record is from RNAcentral.